Non-coding RNA from Fukomys damarensis (Damara mole-rat), 377 nucleotides. Lineage: Eukaryota; Metazoa; Chordata; Mammalia; Rodentia; Bathyergidae. The record is from the annotation of a RefSeq genome assembly.
AUCCUGCAGGCACCAUGAAGACGCUCUGGACCCUUCUGUGCCUGAUGACUGCUCCUCUGGGUGUCCUGUCUGAUCUGACACUUCAGGAUUCAGGACCUGGCCUGGUGAAGCCUGGACAGACCCUGUCCCUCACCUGCACUGUCACCGGGGGCUCUGUCACUACUAGUUACUACUGGCAUUGGAUCCGCCAGCCCCCUGGGAAAGCUCUACAGUGGAUGGGGAGCUUCUUGUUAAGGAGCACAAACUACAACCCAGCCUUUGAGGACCGCAUCUCCAUCACUGCUGACACAGCCAAGAACCAGUUCUCCCUGCAGCUGAACUCCGUGACCCCCGAGGACACAGCCAUGUAUUACUGUGCAGGACUUGGCUCACAGUGA